RNAcentral lists this ribosomal RNA (635 nucleotides) under uncultured Bacilli bacterium. RNAcentral describes it as "bacterial SSU rRNA". It matches the Rfam family "Bacterial small subunit ribosomal RNA", at positions 68 to 687 of the family's 1533-position model. Lineage: Bacteria; Bacillati; Bacillota; Bacilli. The record is from RNAcentral.
UUUUUCUGGUGCUUGCACUAGAAAAACUUAGCGGCGAACGGGUGAGUAACACGUAAAGAACCUGCCUCAUAGACGGGGACAACUAUUGGAAACGAUAGCUAAUACCGGAUAACAGCAUAAAUCACAUGAUAUAUGUUUAAAAGUUGGUUUCGGCUAACACUAUGAGAUGGCUUUGCGGUGCAUUAGCUAGUUGGUGGGGUAAAGGCCUACCAAGGCGACGAUGCAUAGCCGACCUGAGAGGGUGAUCGGCCACACUGGGACUGAGACACGGCCCAGACUCCUACGGGAGGCAGCAGUAGGGAAUCUUCCGCAAUGGGCGAAAGCCUGACGGAGCAACGCCGCGUGAGUGAAGAAGGAUUUCGGUUCGUAAAGCUCUGUUGUUAGGGAAGAAUGAUUGUAUAGUAACUAUAUACAGUAGAGACGGUACCUAACCAGAAAGCCACGGCUAACUACGUGCCAGCAGCCGCGGUAAUACGUAGGUGGCAAGCGUUGUCCGGAAUUAUUGGGCGUAAAGCGCGCGCAGGUGGUUUAAUAAGUCUGAUGUGAAGCCCACGGCUCAACCGUGGAGGGUCAUUGGAAACUGUUAAACUUGAGUGCAGGAGAGAAAAGUGGAAUUCCUAGUGUAGCGGUGAAAU